RNAcentral lists this ribosomal RNA (460 nucleotides) under uncultured bacterium. Its description in RNAcentral is "partial 16S ribosomal RNA". It matches the Rfam family "Bacterial small subunit ribosomal RNA", at positions 338 to 795 of the family's 1533-position model. The record is from RNAcentral.
CCUACGGGAGGCAGCAGUGAGGAAUAUUGGUCAAUGGACGCAAGUCUGAACCAGCCAUGCCGCGUGCAGGAAGACGGCUCUAUUAGUUGUAAACUGCUUUUGGACGGGGGUAAACGCAGAUACGCGUAUCUGUCUGAAAGUAUCGUACGAAUAAGGAUCGGCUAACUCCGUGCCAGCAGCCGCGGUAAUAAGGAGGAUUCAAGCGUUAUCCGGAUUUAAUGGGUUGAAAGGGUGCGUAGGCGGUCGGAUAAGUUUGAGGUGAAAUCCCGAGGCUCAACUUCGGAAUUGCAUCUGAUACUGUUCGGCUAGAGAGUAGUUGCGGUAGGCGGAAUGUAUGGUGUAGCGGUGAAAUGCUUAGAGAUCAUACAGAACACCGAUUGCGAAGGCAGCUUACCAAGCUACUUCUGACGUUGAGGCACGAAAGCGUGGGGAGCAAACAGGAUUAGAUACCCUUGUAGUC